This 437-nucleotide ribosomal RNA is filed under the name Chaunacops coloratus. Its description in RNAcentral is "partial 12S ribosomal RNA". It matches the Rfam family "Bacterial small subunit ribosomal RNA", at positions 768 to 1408 of the family's 1533-position model. Lineage: Eukaryota; Metazoa; Chordata; Actinopteri; Lophiiformes; Chaunacidae. The record is from RNAcentral.
CAAACUGGGAUUAGAUACCCCACUAUGCCUAGCCGUAAACAAUGAUAAUGUACUACCCCCAUUACCCGCCCGGGUACUACAAGCAUCAGCUUGAAACCCAAAGGACUUGGCGGUGCUUAAAAUCCACCUAGAGGAGCCUGUUCUAGAACCGAUAACCCCCGUUCAACCUCACCCUCUCUUGUCAUUCCCGCCUAUAUACCGCCGUCGUCAGCUUACCCUGUGAAGGUUUAAUAGUAAGCAAAAUUGGCACACCCCAAAACGUCAGGUCGAGGUGUAGCGUAUGAGGGGGGAAGAAAUGGGCUACAUUCCCUAGCAAAGUGUAUACGAAUAGUACAUUGAAACCUGUACUUGAAGGAGGAUUUAGUAGUAAGCAAAAAAUAGAGCGUUAUGCUGAAACUGGCCCUAAAGCGCGCACACACCGCCCGUCACCUUUGAGC